This 75-nucleotide transfer RNA is filed under the name Pseudomonadales bacterium. Its description in RNAcentral is "tRNA-Gln". It matches the Rfam family "tRNA". Rfam says of the family: Transfer RNA (tRNA) molecules are approximately 80 nucleotides in length. Lineage: Bacteria; Pseudomonadati; Pseudomonadota; Gammaproteobacteria; Pseudomonadales. The record is from RNAcentral.
UGGGGUGUCGACAAGCGGUAAGUCACCAGUUUUUGGUACUGGUAUUCGGAGGUUCGAAUCCUCCCACCCCAUCCG